Molecule: ribosomal RNA, 486 nt
Filed under: uncultured bacterium
Lineage: Bacteria
Description: partial 16S ribosomal RNA
Rfam family: Bacterial small subunit ribosomal RNA
Source: RNAcentral
AUUGAACGCUGGCGGCAUGCUUUACACAUGCAAGUCGAGCGGCAGCGCGGGGGCAACCCUGGCGGCGAGCGGCGAACGGGUGAGUAAUGCAUCGGAACGUAUCCUCGAGUGGGGGAUAACCCAGCGAAAGUUGGGCUAAUACCGCAUGAGCUCUGAGGAGGAAAGCGGGGGACCUGCGAGGGCCUCGCGCUGGAGGAGCGGCCGAUGUCCGAUUAGCUAGUUGGUGGGGUAAAGGCUUACCAAGGCGACGAUCGGUAGCUGGUCUGAGAGGAUGAUCAGCCACACUGGGACUGAGACACGGCCCAGACUCCUACGGGAGGCAGCAGUGGGGAAUUUUGGACAAUGGGGGCAACCCUGAUCCAGCCAUGCCGCGUGAGUGAAGAAGGCCUUCGGGUUGUAAAGCUCUUUCGGACGGAACGAAAUGGGCGGGACUAAUACUCCUGUCUGAUGACGGUACCGUAAGUAGAAGCACCGGCUAACUACGUG